This 1697-nucleotide long non-coding RNA is filed under the name Homo sapiens (human). Its description in RNAcentral is "MIR3976 host gene, transcript variant 6 (MIR3976HG)". Lineage: Eukaryota; Metazoa; Chordata; Mammalia; Primates; Hominidae. The record is from RNAcentral.
AACUCUCUCUCUUUCUGAUUGAGUGUAAGCUGCUAUAUGAAGGGAUCCACAAGACGAAUAAUUAAGGGGGACCUCUGAUCAACAGCCAGCAAGGAACUGAAUCCCUCAGACCCACAACUCACAAGAAACUGAAGCUGAAGCAGAUUCUUCCUCAGUCAAGCUUCAGGUGCCCAGCUGUAUUGGUAGAGGAGACCAACCACACCCUCCACAGCACAGCACCUGGAGAGGAACUGCUGCCAUGACCAUAGAGGACACCCUCUGGAUACAAUGCCAGACUUGAUGUGGGACUGACCAACCUAUGGACCCCAGGCACCACCACCCAGACCUGCUCAGCACCUGAAACAUUCACAGCCGUGGAGAGAGAACUGUUCACUGCUACCAUCCACACUUCUGGGCCCCUUCAGCAGCAGGGUGACAAGGAAGAGGGAAAUCGACUUGGAAAAGAGGGGACCUCUGACCCAAGAGUUCGGUCAAUGCAUAUGUUGGCAGCCAGCUGCACAUCGCACCAAAUAUGAACUUCAAAUAGAAGAAAGCCUCAUUUGGAAGAAAGCUCAUGCACAGACUGUAAAUAUUUCAGAGCAGAUUGUGUCUCUGUAGAUUAACCGGAUACAGUGGCUUGCACCUGUGGUCUCAGCGACUUGGGCGACUGAAGCAAGAAGAUCACUUGAGCCUAGGAGUUCGAGGCUACAGCAAGCUAUGACCGUGCCACUGCACUCCAGCCUGGGCGUGACAGACCAGCUCUUCUUCUGAAGGAUGACCACCUGGAAUAAGAGCAGCCCUAGGCCCCCCACCUCACUCCAGGUGGCAGAUCCACAGAGAUGGUAGCGAUACAGAAGCACAGCUUCCGAUGGCUUCCCCGUGUCUUCAGUUUGCAGCCUUAUUUCGGUGCUUGGACGUGCUUAACUUCUCAGGAUUAUAUUCUGCUUUGGAGUGCAAGGAGAAAGUCACAGUCUAGUUUUAUGAAGACCAAACUAGAGAAAAUCGAGUUAUCUUAAAGUGUAUGACAUCUCCACAAAUGAAUGUUUAUGGCUUUACACUUGGAGUGUUCUUGGAACACUCUUCAUAGCAAAUCCUCCCUCAGAAGACCCCCACCUGGCAUCAGAACAAACGUGGUGGAAAUCCUGAAAUGCUUCUGGCUCUGGGAUGAAGGCUAAGUCCUUAGGAUGGCUGGCAUUUGUAACUCCUACUGUAGUUCACACCCAUGUGGGCUCAGCACUAGCACAGUGCUUUUCUGAUGUCAUAGAUGAACGGAUGGCAUACAGAAACGGUAAGAAUGAUCCUACUUCAAUAGAGUUGCUGUGAGGAUUCACUGAGAUCAUGUGUACCAAGCUCCUACAAUAGUACUGAACCCACAGCCAUGGAUCAAGACCAUUAACUUAUAAUCAGUGAUAGCCAAGAGGAUGGGAAGAGAAUAUUAAGCCUGGUGCUCUGCAAAUUAAUACUUGCAGCUUAAAAAUACGCUGGACAUGCGACAAUGGUGCUGAGUACUUUGGGGGAAGAUCACAACAGUCCUGGUAGCAGUGUCACAGCAAAAUAUUUCAGAGGUACCAGAUGAGCUAGCUCCAAGGCAAAUGAGGCAAUAUUAUGUUUAACUGUUUGUUCGGAAACUUCUUUUAUUAAAAAAGAUUUUAAAUAUUAAUGCUAUUUUCAAUACAGGUGUGAUAACACUCAAUAAAGCAUGGUGUACUUGAUAUAAA